Hirundo rustica (Barn swallow) is the source of this 566-nucleotide long non-coding RNA. RefSeq lists it as uncharacterized. The record is from RefSeq and is a predicted model, not a curated record. Lineage: Eukaryota; Metazoa; Chordata; Aves; Passeriformes; Hirundinidae. The transcript has 3 exons.
CCGCCGGUUCGAGUCCCGCGCCCGCGCCCCGCCCGGCUGAGCCUGAAAAGCAAAGCAGAAGCACAUCCUGAGCAGUGGAUUUUGUCCUGUAUGCAGAGCUCAAAAUAAUGAUGUGUGCAAGAUCAGAUAACACAAGAUCGGUGCUUAGAAAGGUGUUCAGGAGCUGAAACACUCAUAAAUCUCCUACGGUUCUGAAAUCCUGCACGUUGAAACCACAGCUCUGUAACAUCAUUUAUUCCAAGAAGGAAAGAUAAACCCUUCUGUCAUUUAGGUGAUUAAAGCAGGAUUAAAUCACACAGCUGCAAAAACUGCUGCUUCUGCCUGCCACUGGUGGAGCUGAGGCUGCUCCUGCAUCCGUGUUCUAGAGGAGCAACAAAGCUCCAGGGAAGGGGAAUGGGAUAAAAAUCCUUUUUGACAAGUAGCAGAAAGCCCUGUGUGUUUUGUGCUUUGCUGCAUCACGCCGUCAGGGCUCUCCUGGAACGUGGGAAUGGAUGUUUGUGGCAUUUAGCAGCAUCAGGGGAAUUCAUCCUGCUCCGAUUUGCUGACGAGGGAAGAACGACAGAGGG